ACAGGUACAGCACAGGCAGCGACAGUACGAGCUUUCUUCACACCACCCUGCCCAUGUUCCUCAACC
This 66-nucleotide small RNA is filed under the name Marmota monax (woodchuck). Lineage: Eukaryota; Metazoa; Chordata; Mammalia; Rodentia; Sciuridae. The record is from RNAcentral.